CUCGCCGUUGUAUUCAUACGUGGAUUCGUAACCGUUGGUGACGCAUGGAUUGCCGCGAGAUCCCGUGAUGUUGAGGCUCUGAGCUCGUGCUGCUCUCAAGCCGUAGUUCAAGUAGCUGCAGAAAUCGGAUUCGAUCUCUUUUGGAAGACGUAGGCGUCUCCUUGCGGCGAUGAAGAUGGGGCGGUUGAAGCGGCGGAGUCAGAGAUAGCAUACGCCAUUUGCACCGAUCCUCCGCCGAGAUCCACCACACCUACGCAUCGGAAGAGUUGCCGGGCAAGAGGCGAAGACCGGCGGUUGCCUGCACAGACAGAGGAAGCAGUAAGUAAGGGGCGUUAGCAGCAGCUUUGUCGGAGAGAGCAUAAGCCAUCUGUACUGAGCCACCUCCAAGGUCAACCACUGCUGCCGUUUUAGAGUAUUUUUUGCCCAACUUACCAUCUAGAUAGUUUAUUGCAACCUGCAAUUUCACAUAGAUCAAACUUCGUGGUUUUUUCGAUAA
This is a long non-coding RNA of Salvia hispanica, 496 nucleotides long. RefSeq lists it as uncharacterized. Lineage: Eukaryota; Viridiplantae; Streptophyta; Magnoliopsida; Lamiales; Lamiaceae. The record is from RefSeq and is a predicted model, not a curated record.